AGCAGAAAAUGGGGGCGGGGCGGUGCCUGCAGGCCCGAAACCCCCAAGGGCUUGAGAGGAGACAGGAGAUCUGAGACAGGCCGGCUAAAGCGGACACAGGCACCUGGGCAAGCUUCCCUGAAGAAGCCAAGAUCAUCUUUGUCCCAUUUAUUUAUUCUCUUUCCUCUACCUUGGAGGGACUCUCAUCUUGUGCCCAGACCUCAGCCUCCUCUCCAAACUCGGCUGAGGGUGACCUGCUUCUGGGCCCCCAUCUGCACAGACACCGACUUCCAGCCCACAGGCCUCAGCCCAGGCGCUCGUGCCCUCACCAUGGUGAAGCUGCUGCCUGCCCAGGAGGCCGCCAAGAUCUACCACACCAACUAUGUGCGGAACGCCAGGGCUGUCGGCGUGAUGUGGGGCACGCUCACCAUCUGCUUCUCCGUGCUGGUCAUGGCCCUGUUCAUCCAGCCCUACUGGAUCGGGGACAGCGUCAACACACCCCAGGCAGGCUACUUCGGCCUUUUUUCCUACUGUGUGGGCAACGUGCUCUCCUCUGAGCUCAUCUGCAAGGGUGGCCCUUUGGACUUCUCCUCCAUCCCCUCUAGAGCCUUCAAGACUGCCAUGUUCUUUGUGGCCUUGGGCAUGUUCCUCAUCAUUGGCUCCAUCAUCUGCUUCAGCCUGUUCUUCGUCUGCAACACUGCCACAGUCUACAAGAUCUGCGCGUGGAUGCAGCUGGCUGCAGCCACAGGCCUGAUGAUUGGCUGCCUGGUCUACCCAGAUGGUUGGGACUCCAGCGAGGUGCGGCGCAUGUGUGGGGAGCAGACCGGCAAGUACACGCUGGGCCACUGCACCAUCCGCUGGGCCUUCAUGCUGGCCAUCCUGAGCAUUGGAGACGCCCUCAUCCUCUCCUUCCUGGCCUUCGUGCUGGGCUACCGGCAGGACAAGCUGCUCCCUGACGACUACAAGGCCGAUGGACAAGAGGAAGUCUGAGGCAGCUGCAGGGUCGGGACAUUGAAAACUGUCUUAUACACUAGUGAGGACGAUUGCAUGCCUGAGUGGAAAUGAAUCAAAAUGUCGUCUAUUUCCCUGACACUGGAAAAUGAGGGAAUAGUAUUCUCCUGAGAUGAACCUAGUUCCUGCCCAGCAUCCCUGACCCUGGCUGCUAGAGCAAGUCCCGAAGCCCUCGCUGCAGGACUGGAGCCUGGCACUCUCCGGGACGAGGCUGCCUACUGUCCACAGAGAACUCUCAGGUGAAGCCGAAGUGCAGAGACCCCCAUCAACGAUAUGCAGACACAGGUCCCUCUCUCCUGACUGGGGACCCAAGUUCUCUUCCUAUCCCUUCAUGCCUGCAAAUCGCUUUUCCCUCUUGAGGUCUCCUCUGUGAAAGGAGGAGGUGGAAUGAGUCCGAGCCUAGGGCCCUCCGGGUCUGAGACUCCCACAGCCCAAUUCACCGAGGACACGUCCUUUGAAGGCACACCAAAGACGGCCACCGGCUCUGCAGGGCGUCUGAACGAGAGGCAGCUAAGCAAGGUGGAUCAUUUCAGGUUGAGGUUUAGGGGUUCCUUUGCUUCUCCUUUCUCACAUUUUGUUUUCUUACUGAUGCUCAGAGGUGGGUAAGGAAGAGAGAAGCCACCAGAACCUGAACCCAUCGGGAAGUCUAAUAAAGAUCGGGUGAACAUAGAGUCUAAAAACUUGAGACUAAAUUGGCUUCUUUCCCUUUGGAACCCAAAAUCACACCUCUGUGUAGUGCCCACACUGACCCAAUCAGAACUGGCUACCAGAUUCAGAAAUCUGUUACAUGUGUUCAAGUAGUUUGUUACAGUAAUUGAAAACAUUUCUUGUAAAACACUUUGGAUUUGGCACACUAAAUGGUGAGUCUUUGCCAGCACCCAGAGGGGAACUCAGUUUGGAUAAUACCGCAUUGUAGCAAAUGCCAAGAUGCCUCAUUCUCCAGGCUCUUCCCUCCCUGGGGGACGGUGGGUAGGGCAGGGAUUUGUUCACUGUCUGCAGUGAACGGUCCUGAGGAACAGGUGUUUCCUGGUCUUCAGUCAUUUACUCAGGAGAGAAAAAACGUGGGCGCUGUUCUCUCAUGGGUGAGAGGGGGUAAAUGCCGAACAAAGCUGUAAUGGAUCUGAUAGCUUCACCCAGCAGCAGUCAGGGGCAUGGCACACAGUAGGUGUCUUACUCUGGGGCCGUAGGGCAUUAUGUUUUAACCAACACCCUCUGACCAUACGUCCAGUCAGUGCAGGGUUUCUGCUCCCGUUCAGAUGGGCGAGAAACGAGAGCCUCCCAGCGCUGUCCCGGUUGCCAAUGGGAACUUUUUAGCAUGAGGUGUAAUAAUUGUAUUCAUCUUUUUAAAGUGGCUCAGUGAGUUUAUUGCAUUUUUUCCAUUACCAUGUGUUAUCCUUAUACUCACCCUUCUCCGCCCUAUAGUUGCCACGCUUGUCCAUAUCCAUGAGUCUAUUCAUAUUUUCUUGUGCUGUUAAGAUUAUUUCAGAGCCAGGCACCUACUAUAUGCAAGCUUGAUAAACAGCAGAAUUUCACAAAUUCUAUAGCUUGGUGAGUUUCUAGCUAUAUUUGUUCAUUUAUUUCUUUUACUUUUUAUAGAAGGCAAGAAAUAAAAACAUUUCUAAAAGCUUCUCUACUGUCAAAAUAUUUCUCACUGAAAUGGCAACUAUGGUGAUUCACAGGAGCUUCUGGGGGCUUCAGGUGCACCUGCCAGCAGCUUGCAUUGCUCUUGCUGGGAACAGCGAGCUGCUUUGUGCUGGGGAACGAAAUGCAAGUGAGUCACCACCCAACGUCUCCCCCUUAGCUUUAUGUUCAAGGAAACUCGGAAUUCAACCUGUCCUAUAAUAGUAAUGAUUUUUGUUGAUACUCUCAGCUCUCUCAAGUGGCUUUACCUUUAAAUAAAUUCCUAAAGGGCACCUCACAUCUCAUUUUUGAAGUAUAUAGAAACUCAAUAAAACCAGCACUCCUCUAACCAAGUUACCUUCCUUCCUUAUUCAUUUCUGGUUUGCCUGUCUUGGGCUGGGGGGUAGGGAUGGUUCUGAUACCCGUCUUAUCAACAAUGACCAUGCCUGAGCAGAUAUGGCCCAGAGAGGAAGGACUAG
This is an RNA transcript of Phyllostomus hastatus (greater spear-nosed bat), 3089 nucleotides long. It is a transcript of the gene named LHFPL tetraspan subfamily member 5, with no coding region annotated. The transcript has 5 exons. NCBI's taxonomy places the organism in Eukaryota, Metazoa, Chordata, Mammalia, Chiroptera, Phyllostomidae. The record is from RefSeq and is a predicted model, not a curated record.